Molecule: long non-coding RNA, 170 nt
Organism: Bolinopsis microptera
Lineage: Eukaryota; Metazoa; Ctenophora; Tentaculata; Lobata; Bolinopsidae
Exons: 2
Source: RefSeq, a predicted model, not a curated record
CAUCGGGGCAGAAGAUAAAGCUGAGUUGCAACGAAUGGAGUUUGGGUUUAUUAUGAUGCAUUGCAUCGCUUCGACCGCCGCCAGCCGAUGGGUCGACGAAUUGUUAAAGUUCAAAGUGCCAGCGGCUGGAGUGACAUUGACUGCUUUACUUUUAUCUGUUUGCUAUUGAA